GGGCCCUACCCCCCUUUGUUUAGUUCGUCCUAGGACUGCUCGGGUGCCGACGGACCUGUAACUCUGUGGAUUAUUAAAUUUUGUUACUGUGAUAUACAGAUGACCCCUGGGAUAUAUAUUUGUUUCACAGGAAAUAUCUCCCCUUUGGUGAUGAUGACGGUACCGGAGUUUUGCCAAGAGACUUGGAUUAUCUUGACGGUACAUUGGAGGAUACAUCAUUGAAAACCUACACUUUUCAAUUCAGCACGUCAAAAGGUGGUUGUUUUGUGGCAAAUGAAUGAACAUUUUACCCUAAUGGUUAAUCAAGUUAGGAAGACGAGAUGUAACACUAUUUCAAAGCUGAAGGAGGCUUUUAUUUCAAAGCUGAAGGAGGCUCUAGCCAAUGGUUUCGACAAAGACAACAGCCUGCUAUAAGAAAGUAAAUAGCCAAUUAAGCCAACGGGCAGUUGUAAAUUGUAAGGAGAGAUGUACCCUUAGCUGACUAGGGGGAGGGAAAAAGUCCAAUGAGCAAGGACGACUAACUGCUAAAGAGGAAAUUGCUAAACAAGGCAAGGGAAGUAGUAAAUUGGUGUGUUUGAGGUGUGUGUGUUACAUAGGUGAUUAAAUUGCCAUUAUAUCAGCGAUGAUGUGGAGAGGUUGGCUAUCAAUGAAAUCUUUUGGGUCAUGUUAUUGUGGUCUAGUUUGUAUAAAGACCAUUUGAGAAAUCAUUGCCCAUUUUCAUAUUUUUACUACAUUUUGCCAGAGAUUUAAUUGAGUGAAUUUAACAAAUUUAAUUAAAAUUUGUUUUUCAGACUUAAUUCUAUCCAGUUUUUCAGAGAUUUUGUAAACACCGGGGUAAAUUGUCAUGGUUAACACAAUUGAUUCAAUUUUACUUUUGAGAUAGUUUGUGGACGUCGGUAAAUCGUCAUGGCAAAUUUGUAAUAUUUGUCCAAGAAGUUGAAACACAAUCUUCAUGGAGUUUAGUGGCGUGUUUUUAAAUUUUAAGUCUAAGGUGGCUAAGGGGUGUAAGUGAAUGUGC
This is a long non-coding RNA of Macrobrachium nipponense, 1018 nucleotides long. RefSeq lists it as uncharacterized. The record is from RefSeq and is a predicted model, not a curated record. The transcript is spliced from 4 exons. Lineage: Eukaryota; Metazoa; Arthropoda; Malacostraca; Decapoda; Palaemonidae.